UGAAUUGUUGCUUCUGUGCUAAGUUUUUGCUAUAGGCACUCGUCUCUUUUGUUUUGUUUCUUGUAUUUUCGUAUCCUGUCUGAUUUAUGAGGCGUGAAUAAUUUUACGCCCCCUAGAGCCCGAUUGUAGCUGAGAUAGGCACCAGCGUCCCCCGCGACUCCAAAGGGAAUAAGUGGUAGAAAAUGGAUGGAUGGAAAUACAUUUCCCUACCUGCAUUUUUCCUCCGGGGUUUCUGUCUGCAUCCUGGGAGAACGACCCACGCAUAAACAUGCGACCCAACCGUGACAUCUUUUGAGCUGUGGUUUGCACCAGGCAGGCAGGCAGAGAGUGUGUUGCUGAGUGGCUUGGCGGUGUUCCUCAACAAAUCAAAAGUGGACGAGUGAGGAGACGCUUUUAUUUUGAUAUGGAAGAAAUGAGACGUGCAGCAACAUGAUGACUUUAUCCCGGGCAAUGCCGAGCCAUUUUCAGACGCAUCAAUGGCAGGAAGUGGGCAUCGGCUCACCACUGCGGAAAGG
Molecule: long non-coding RNA, 515 nt
Organism: Nerophis ophidion (straightnose pipefish)
Lineage: Eukaryota; Metazoa; Chordata; Actinopteri; Syngnathiformes; Syngnathidae
Exons: 3
Source: RefSeq, a predicted model, not a curated record